GGGAGAGAGAGUGUAGAGAGAGCGAGACGAUGGUGCUCUGAUGAUUGAGUGAAGCCAUGGUGAGAAGUGCCUCUGGCCAGAAGGGCUUGGGAUAGAGUGAAAGAAGAUGAAGAAGCCAUUGUUUUGUUUUGAGAGAGAGAGAGAGAGGUUGAGCUCGCCUUCUGAUCGUGUUUCUUGUGUCAAGGGUGAUUGAGUUCGUUGAUAUAAUCGAGCCUUUUGUUCGCGUCAAGACUCAUUUAGUUAGAUAAAGAGUGAAUAACAUUUGUAUUCCCAAUUUUUCAUUAUUUCUAAAAUGGAGCACGUUUCUAUAUUGUUAUUAAAUAAGUCCUGAACCUCGAUUGAAAUACCCGAUUCAAAACAUCAUACUUCUUUGUACAAUUCUAAAAUAUGUUACCAAUUCACUGACUAAUCUUUCAUUGUUUAAGUUAAAGAGUAAUGAUACAGCCACAAACUCUUGUACAAAUUUAUUUUGUACAAACUGACGUGGCAUUAAUUCAUUGGUUAAAUGAAAAUAUAAAAUAAUAAAAACAAAUCAUGAGGGCCAAGUGAUAUUUAAUUCAACCAAUCUUAUCAUGCCACAUCAGUUUGUACAAAAUAAGUUUGUACAAGAGUUUGUAACUAUAUCAUUACUCUUAUCGUGGAUUGGUAGAGUGAAAAUCCAAAUCACAAGGGUACUUUAGUAUUUUAACAAGAGUAAAGUAUCCAUUUGAUACAAAUGCAAACUUUUGGUCCUUAUUUGAAGAAAUAUAAAAAUUAAUAUCCUGUUUUGAACUUUUUGUUGGGAUUGGAGGGAGGGAGAGAGAGAGCGAGAAAGAGAGAGAGAGAGAGAGAGAGAGACGGAGAGCCAACAACUCUUCUGUUGAUCUUCUCGGCUUCAGUUAGGGGCAAGGGGUAAGGAGAGCUGACCGUUAGAUUCGAAGAGGAGACAUCUCAACCCUUCACUAUGGGUAGGAGUUUGGAAAAUGCUCAGCCUUCCAUUUUUUCUUUUUUCUUAAAAAAAAUUUAGGUGCCACGUCAUUAUUUUUUAAAUUUUUAUAUUUUUUAUUCAUUGGGGUCAAAAUCUUUAUUGAGGCAUGACAUCGAUGCCAAAGUCACUUGGCAAUAAAAUAAUGGUGAUUAAGAUUUAACAACUCAAGUGAUUCGUAUUGUUUUAUUUUUUUAAUUAUAGGUGAAACUAUUUUAAUUUUAAUUUUUUACUUAAAAAUUAACACAAAUUUUGAGUUAUUAAUUUCAAAC
RNAcentral lists this long non-coding RNA (1236 nucleotides) under Citrus maxima (pomelo). RNAcentral's name for it is "long non-coding RNA (CMAX_LNC002643)". The record is from RNAcentral. Lineage: Eukaryota; Viridiplantae; Streptophyta; Magnoliopsida; Sapindales; Rutaceae.